This 95-nucleotide signal recognition particle RNA is filed under the name Pseudonocardia charpentierae. Its description in RNAcentral is "Pseudonocardia sp. DSM 45834 signal recognition particle sRNA small type". It matches the Rfam family "Bacterial small signal recognition particle RNA". Rfam says of the family: The signal recognition particle (SRP) is a universally conserved ribonucleoprotein involved in the co-translational targeting of proteins to membranes. Archaeal SRP consists of a 7S RNA and homologues of the eukaryotic SRP19 and SRP54 proteins. Lineage: Bacteria; Bacillati; Actinomycetota; Actinomycetes; Pseudonocardiales; Pseudonocardiaceae. The record is from RNAcentral.
UGCCGGGUACCGCGUGGCGUCACCCUGUUAAGCCCCCAGGGCCGGAAGGCAGCAAGGGUGCGCAGGCUCUGGCGGGCACGCGGUACCCUUGCCUU